Molecule: ribosomal RNA, 491 nt
Filed under: uncultured bacterium
Lineage: Bacteria
Description: bacterial SSU rRNA
Rfam family: Bacterial small subunit ribosomal RNA
Source: RNAcentral
AUUGAACGCUGGCGGAAUGCUUUACACAUGCAAGUCGAACGGCAGCACGGGGGUAACCCUGGUGGCGAGUGGCGAACGGGUGAGUAAUACAUCGGAACGUGCCCAAUCGUGGGGGAUAACGUAGCGAAAGCUACGCUAAUACCGCAUACGAUCUACGGAUGAAAGCGGGGGAUCGCAAGACCUCGCGCGAUUGGAGCGGCCGAUGGCAGAUUAGGUAGUUGGUGAGGUAAAAGCUCACCAAGCCAACGAUCUGUAGCUGGUCUGAGAGGACGACCAGCCACACUGGGGACUGAGACACGGCCCCAGACUCCUACGGGAGGCAGCAGUGGGGAAUUUUUGGGACAAUGGGCGAAAGCCUGAUCCAGCCAUUCCGCGUGCAGGAUGAAGGCCCUCGGGUUGUAAGCUGCUUUUGUACGGAACGAAACGCGCUGAGUUAAUACCUCGGCGUAAAUGACGGUACCGUAAGAAUAAAGCACCGGGCUAAACUACGU